AUGGCUGUCGUCAGCUCGUGUCGUGAGAUGUUGGGUUAAGUCCUAUAACGAGCGCAACCCUUACCCUUAUUUGCCAGCGGUUCGGCCGGGAACUAUAAGGGAACUGCCGGUAAUAAGCCGGAGGAAGGUGGGGACGACGUCAAGUCAUCAUGGCCCUUACAUGUAGGGCUACACACGUGCUACAAUGGGAGAUACAAACGGUCGCUAAAGCGCGAGCUGGAGCUAAUCCGAUAAAGUCUUUCGUAGUCCGAAUUGCAGUCUGGAACUCGACUGCAUGAAGCCGGAAUCGCUAGUAAUCGCGGAUCAGCAUGCCGCGGUGAAUACGUUCUCGGGUCUUGUACACACCGCCCGUCACACCAUGGGAGUGCAUUGCACCAGAAGUAGAUAGCUUAACCUUAGGGAUGGCGUUUACCACGGUGUGGUCCAUGACUGGGGUGAAGUCGUAACAAGGUAGCACUAGGGGAACCUGGGGCUGGAUCACCUCCUUACGGACGGCAUUCAUACGAGUGACUAAAUCUUUUCAAUUAACGAAGGAUCUAUUAAAGAACAAUUUGCGAAACUGCAAUAAUAUAUUUCAAAGAACAAAGAGUUAACUUUGAGGUUACUUAUUCAAGUAAUUAAGUGCUAAAGGCGGAUGCCUUGGCAUCUAGAGGCGAUGAAGGACGUUGUAACUUGCGAUAAGCCCCGGCGAGCCAGUACACAGGCUAUGACCCGAGGAUUUCCGAAUGGGGAAACCCGG
RNAcentral lists this small RNA (739 nucleotides) under uncultured bacterium. Its description in RNAcentral is "bacterial SSU rRNA". The stretch from base 1 to 488 matches the Rfam family "Bacterial small subunit ribosomal RNA", at positions 1045 to 1533 of the family's 1533-position model. The record is from RNAcentral.